AUACAGAGGGUACGAGCGUUAAUCGGAAUUACUGGGCGUAAAGCGCGCGUAGGUGGAAUAUUAAGUUGGGUGUGAAAUCCCCGGGCUCAACCUGGGCUGGUCAUCCAAAACUGGUAUUCUAGAGUACAGUAGAGGGAAGUGGAAUUUCCGGUGUAGCGGUGAAAUGCGUAGAUAUCGGAAGGAACAUCAGUGGCGAAGGCGACUUCCUGGACUGAUACUGACACUGAGGCGCGAAAGCGUGGGUAGCAAACAGGAUUAGAAACCCCGGUAGUCC
This 274-nucleotide ribosomal RNA is filed under the name uncultured bacterium. Its description in RNAcentral is "partial 16S ribosomal RNA". It matches the Rfam family "Bacterial small subunit ribosomal RNA", at positions 523 to 796 of the family's 1533-position model. The record is from RNAcentral.